UUAUAAUAGGUAACUCGUAGAAAAGCCUUUGCAAAGAGGGAUGAGUGCGCAUAAAUCUUUUUUCAACUUUAAGAACAAGCGCUGAAAUAGUAUCGACAUAACUAUGGGUUCUUUUCAGAAUAGGAAUAUCAUUCAAACCAAAGUCCGCAUACAAAUAAAGAAUUCCUCAAUAAUGUUUUAUGCUCUAAUAUCACAUUUUCCCGCAACAACAAAAAUUGUAUCUAUAUUUGUGGGAAUUUCCUCUUUAGGGGUUUUGUCAUCCUCACUUCUCGCAAUGACAAACUCAGACAUGAUAACAACUUCAAAUAAGCAAAUCAUGU
This 320-nucleotide long non-coding RNA is filed under the name Hordeum vulgare. RNAcentral describes it as "long non-coding RNA (HVUL_LNC004585)". Lineage: Eukaryota; Viridiplantae; Streptophyta; Magnoliopsida; Poales; Poaceae. The record is from RNAcentral.